CUGGCAAAAAUGCGAUCGAUGAUGGCAGAACUGUUUGUCUUCCAUUCCUGAGAUUGGACUGUAUGUUUCAGUUUCAUUCCUGAGAACAUUUCCAGUAAAACAAUUCCCAGACUCCACAGAUCCACAGCAGAGGUACAUUCCGUCUCACUCUGGAGCCCUGCCUGUGCUAGGCAGUUCUGCAGUUCUGCCUCUGGAGCCCGAUACCCGUCUGUUUGAAUAUAUUUCACAUCCUGCAGAAGACCAAACAAAC
RNAcentral lists this long non-coding RNA (250 nucleotides) under Gallus gallus (chicken). Lineage: Eukaryota; Metazoa; Chordata; Aves; Galliformes; Phasianidae. The record is from RNAcentral.